GACCAUUCUGGUGGCCUAUGUGGUUAGAGCAUCUGCUUCCAAUGUAGGAUGUUGUGGGUUCAAACCCUGGCUGUGUCA
Non-coding RNA from Potamilus streckersoni, 78 nucleotides. Lineage: Eukaryota; Metazoa; Mollusca; Bivalvia; Unionida; Unionidae. The record is from the annotation of a GenBank genome assembly.